RNAcentral lists this ribosomal RNA (253 nucleotides) under uncultured bacterium. RNAcentral describes it as "partial 16S ribosomal RNA". It matches the Rfam family "Bacterial small subunit ribosomal RNA", at positions 524 to 776 of the family's 1533-position model. RNAcentral also lists the same sequence under 1 other name. The record is from RNAcentral.
UACGAAAGGUGCAAGCGUUACUCGGAAUCACUGGGCGUAAAGCGCACGUAGGCGGACUUACAGGUCAAUUGUGAAAUACCUGGGCUCAACCCAGGAACUGCAGUUGAAACCGUUUGUCUUGAAUACUUGAGAGGGUGGGGGAAUACCUGGUGGAGAAGUGAAAUUCGUAGAGAUCAGGUGGAACACCGGAGGCGAAGGCGCCUGCCUGGCAAUGUAUUGACGCUGAGGUGCGAAAGUGCGGGGAGCAAACAGG